RNAcentral lists this ribosomal RNA (254 nucleotides) under uncultured bacterium. Its description in RNAcentral is "partial 16S ribosomal RNA". It matches the Rfam family "Bacterial small subunit ribosomal RNA", at positions 524 to 776 of the family's 1533-position model. The record is from RNAcentral.
GACGAACCGUGCGAACGUUAUUCGGAAUCACUGGGCUUAAAGCGCGUGUAGGCGGCCCGGAGCAUCGUCGGCUGAAAUCCCCCGGCUCAACCGGGGAACGGGCCACGAGAUGUCCGGGCUGGAGGGGGGUAGGGGGAGCCGGAACUCACGGUGGAGCGGUGAAAUGCGUAGAUAUCGUUUGGAACGCCAAUGGUGAAAACAGGUUGCUGGGGGUGUGCUGACGCUGAGACACGAAAGCCAGGGGAGCAAACGGG